This is a long non-coding RNA of Neltuma alba, 443 nucleotides long. RefSeq lists it as uncharacterized. Lineage: Eukaryota; Viridiplantae; Streptophyta; Magnoliopsida; Fabales; Fabaceae. The transcript is spliced from 3 exons. The record is from RefSeq and is a predicted model, not a curated record.
CCUGCAAAAGCAUCACUUGGUGUGGUUUCUUUUCACACUUCAAUUUUUUCGUCUUUUCUAUUCAUACCUGUUCCUGUAUAUGGUUCUUCGCAUGUAUAAACAAAUUCUAAUCCUGGGUUGAUUUAAACACGACCAAUUUGCCUGAAUUUGUACAUAUUAUGCAUGAUUAUUCAAGCAUAAUAUGCUCAAACGGGUGAUAUUGGACCCAUAGAAACUCACCUCAGAGAGGCAUGAGGAUCGAUGCCCAUCUAUUUCUCAUAUCAGUUCUGAGAGCAAAGGCAUAAAGCAAAGCCUUUGGUCUUUAUGAGGGAAGAGGUUGCUAGGAUUCUUUGAAGCUUAUUUAUUUCAAAGUGAUGAGAGAAAACGAGAGGAUCCAAGCUGAAGGAUGAAGAGCAAGCUCGAGAUCUUAAUGCUGCCGUAAUCAAUUCUAAUCGCUCCCUGCG